CGCAAGGCCGCGGCUUUGGCCGCUCCAAUCCUCGUGCUGUGUCCCAGAGGGCACCCCUCUGCGGCUCUGCUUCAAAUCCUUGGCUAUGCCUUGGACGGUACUCUAUCCAGUGGUUACUUGCCCUGGCUUCUGUUUGCUUACUGCUUAGCAGUUAAGCUUCAUUGUCUUCCUCUGAGGCCCUCGCUACUCGCUGUCCUAGCAUGCAUGACGAGACGGUUGGGCAAGUGAAGCAUCUCUGUUGGUGGCAGUGUGUGCCUCUCUAGACGGCGUGUGCCGGCUUCAUCGGGCCCGUGGGGCUUCCAACCAAUUACGGUCAGAGUUGCCGCUUUGUCCUCCCCUGUUCUGCUCCUCCUGUCCGCUCACGGUGAUUGCUGCUGUCUGCUUCUACCGCUUGCCCCUCUGCUGCUACCCUUGCUGCUGGGUUGCUUUGAAUGUUGGGCGCGGGUGAAUGGCGUUGAUGUUUGUUUGCUUGCUACGCUGCAUCACUUGUCCUGUGAUCCUGUCCUUACUGUCUGUGUGUCCUUGUCUGUUGAUGUUCGCGUCUGUGUGCCCUGAUUGUGCUUAUGCUGAUCUAACCCGUCAACUAAUGGGGCAUUCCUUCUGCUGAACCUGGUGUGCUGGGUAUUUUGCUUUUGUGUGUUCUUUUGGUUUGCUGUGAUUACUUUUGUUUGCUGUGCUUUAUUUUGAUUCCUUUUCAUUUUCGUUUUGCAGUGUUUUUGUUAAUGUAAACCUCAGCAUCCUUGGUCCUGUAAGUGGGAAUAUCUCCACUAGGGUCUGUACAUAAGCCGAGUCGUGUGUGUGUGUGUGUGUGUGUGUGUGUGUGUGUGAUCCUGAUA
Long non-coding RNA from Engraulis encrasicolus (European anchovy), 836 nucleotides. RefSeq lists it as uncharacterized. The transcript has 3 exons. The record is from RefSeq and is a predicted model, not a curated record. NCBI's taxonomy places the organism in Eukaryota, Metazoa, Chordata, Actinopteri, Clupeiformes, Engraulidae.